Molecule: long non-coding RNA, 1861 nt
Organism: Lates calcarifer (barramundi perch)
Lineage: Eukaryota; Metazoa; Chordata; Actinopteri; Centropomidae
Exons: 8
Source: RefSeq, a predicted model, not a curated record
UCUCACAGAGGUGUAAUAUUUGUGUCUCUUCUCUCCCCCUCCACAGCCUGGAUGUCUGUGGACCUGAUUGGCCGACCAGACACCCUACAAGCAGCGUUCAGGUCCAGGUGUCGGCGGCGUCCUGGUCCUGUCAGCCGGAUUCAUCCUGAGAGACACAUGCAGAAGGAGGAGAAGUUUUACAGCUUCAUUUGUUGGCGAGGACAAAUCGGCCGAGAUCUCCCCGGCGAGAUUAAUGGCACGGCAAAUCAUGGCUCAUGCUGCCGCGGCGACAGGCGUUCCCCGGGUGCCGUUCCCCGGGUGCCGUUCCCCGCGGCUGCGGCUCAUUUAAAAGCCGUAUAAUCUCGGCGGUGACGGUGACGGAGCGGGGGAAAUCGCAUCGCUGGACCAGGACGCCUGACAGCUGCAUUAAGCCCUGCCAGGGCCGCUUCACGCCCACAGGACCCCUCCCAAUCACCCCCACCCCUCAUCAUCACCCAGCAUGCCUCAGUAACAGAGAGGAGGCUCUUAUGGAGGCUGCUGAUCUCCGUGGAGAUAGAAGAGGAGAGGCUCCGUCCUGCUCCUCCAUCUCAUUCAACCUUCAUUUAACCAGAAAACCUCUCCUGACAUUAAACGUCUCUUUCUGCACAGGAGCCGUGACACCAUGACAGACAACAGGCUCCGAAAUAUUUACCACAGACACUUACAGGACCAAAAAAACUAUCUUCACUGCUGAGCAAUAUGGAAUUUAGAAAGUGAUAUUUAUAUAUAAAGAAAUAAGACAACUAUGUUGAUUAAUAUUGGUAUAUUUCCCCUUACUUACAGUUAGGCCGAACAGAUAAACCAGUUAUUUCUUAGUGAUUAGCAACUGUGUUUCUGUCACAUCUGAAGGGAAAAGACCAAGAGCUUCCCAGCGUGUGGAUCCUGGAAGGAAACCUGGCCCUCCGCCCGCCUGCCGCCGUCAGGAGCCUCGCGACUGUAAGAUGGCGACAGAUUUGUGAUUAAACAGCCACUUUGUCAUGCGAGAGGGACAUAAUGCAUCAACACAGGUCGGGUUGUAGCUGUGACGAUCGCUUGGUGUUUGCGUAUCUAGAAGCUGAGGGAUUAAGAUGGCGUCUGCCUCCGUGAGACCGACCUACACCCCGAGGAUAAGGACACUGUGUCGUACACCUGGAUCCUGCAGCACAGACUUUGAGCUCGACGCCGAGAUCCCCAGAGAGAUCUGUCCAUCAGCCCGAGAAAGUACGACUGCCGUGUGGAGAAAAUAUAAAUAAAAUUUUGUGAGAGAUUGAGAGGCUUUGGUCGGUUUGUGAGCCGCUGACGUCCAUGUGUGAGCGACGGAGGAGGCGGUGUGGAUCGACGGGAGCAGCAGAGGAUCCUCGGGGAGAACGCUGCCAAGCAAACCAGUUAAAUCGCGGUGCUUCACUGCCAUCAAGUGGCUGCAGAUAACUUGUCUCUACACAUGGAUGGAUUCCUGAAAGGGCCCACCGGGCAGAGGCCCAGUCGGGCCCCUGGGCCAGAGCCGCUGUCUGAGAGGACUGUUAACAUCUCUUACUGCUGAGAGGAGAGAGAGAGAUGCAUCCAUCCAUCUGUCUCUAUAAGCCCCGCCUCCUGCUGCUCGUUAGGCAGCUCCACUUCUGAUUGGCCGCUUCACCUCGCAACCUCGUUAACUCUCUCCGUCCGUUUGAAGGGUUAACAGCUGCAGCUGAUGGAGCUCACGGCUCAGCCUGGUGGAGUUUUACUGACAUCUACUGGUUCACUGACAGAACUACAGCUGAGCGGAGCAAACAGGAAACCUCAGGAAGUUUGAUGCUUCAGGUCAGAAAUGACAAAAUGUGUCUGAAAUAAAGUGUCUGUGUAAACUCCAACAUGUUCUUCAGAUCUC